Molecule: ribosomal RNA, 1196 nt
Filed under: uncultured Anaerophaga sp.
Lineage: Bacteria; Pseudomonadati; Bacteroidota; Bacteroidia; Marinilabiliales; Marinilabiliaceae
Description: bacterial SSU rRNA
Rfam family: Bacterial small subunit ribosomal RNA
Source: RNAcentral
CAAUGAGAAAUUAUUGCUAAUUCCGCAUGUGGUUAAUUUGAGGCAUCUUAGAUUAACUAAAGAUUUAUCGGUUAGAGCUGGGCAUGCGUCCCAUUAGCUAGUUGGUGAGGUAACGGCUCACCAAGGCAUCGAUGGGUAGGGGCUCUGAGAGGAUUGUCCCCCACACUGGUACUGAGACACGGACCAGACUCCUACGGGAGGCAGCAGUAAGGAAUAUUGGGCAAUGGACGCAAGUCUGACCCAGCCAUGCCGCGUGAAGGAAGACGGCCCUAUGGGUUGUAAACUUCUUUUCUCAGGGGGUAAACUUUGGAACGUGUUCCGGACUGAAAGUACCUGAGGAAUAAGCAUCGGCUAACUCCGUGCCAGCAGCCGCGGUAAUACGGAGGAUGCGAGCGUUAUCCGGAUUCAUUGGGUUUAAAGGGUGCGCAGGCGGAUAUAUAAGUCGGAGGUGAAAUUCUGAUGCUCAACAUCAGCCGUGCCUUCGAUACUGUAUAUCUAGAGUCAAGUUGGAGUAGGCGGAAUGUGUUGUGUAGCGGUGAAAUGCUUAGAUAUAACACAGAACACCGAUCGCGAAGGCAGCUUACUAAACUUUGACUGACGCUCAUGCACGAAAGCGUGGGGAUCAAACAGGAUUAGAUACCCUGGUAGUCCACGCUGUAAACGAUGAUUACUCGCUGUUGGCGAUACACAGUCAGUGGCUAAGCGAAAGUGAUAAGUAAUCCACCUGGGGAGUACGACGGCAACGUUGAAACUCAAAGGAAUUGACGGGGGCCCGCACAAGCGGAGGAGCAUGUGGUUUAAUUCGAUGAUACGCGAGGAACCUUACCAGGGCUAGAACGCAAGUUGAUUAUGUGCGAAAGUAUAUAUCUCUUCGGAGCAAUUUGCGAGGUGCUGCAUGGUUGUCGUCAGCUCGUGCCGUGAGGUGUCAGGUUAAGUCCUAUAACGAGCGCAACCCCUACUCUUAGUUGCCAGCAUGUAAUGAUGGGGACUCUAAGAGAACUGCCUACGCAAGUAGAGAGGAAGGUGGGGAUGACGUCAAAUCAGCACGGCCCUUAUGUCCUGGGCUACACACGUGCUACAAUGGUCGGUACAGAGGGCAGCUACCUGGUGACAGGAUGCUAAUCUCAAAAGCCGGUCUCAGUUCGGAUCGGAGUCUGCAACUCGACUCCGUGAAGUUGGAUUCGCUAGUAAUCGCG